UGCAUCCUACGGGGGGCAGCAGUGGGGAAUAUUGCACAAUGGGGGAAACCCUGAUGCAGCAACGCCGCGUGAGUGAAGAAGUAUUUCGGUAUGUAAAGCUCUAUCAGCAGGGAAGAAGAAGGACGGUACCUGACUAAGAAGCCCCGGCUAACUACGUGCCAGCAGCCGCGGUAAUACGUAGGGGGCGAGCGUUAUCCGGAUUUACUGGGUGUAAAGGGAGCGUAGACGGUUUUUCAAGUCUGAAGUGAAAGCCCGCGGCUCAACUGCGGAACGGCUUUGGAAACUGAGGGACUAGAGUGCUGGAG
This 305-nucleotide ribosomal RNA is filed under the name uncultured bacterium. Its description in RNAcentral is "bacterial SSU rRNA". It matches the Rfam family "Bacterial small subunit ribosomal RNA", at positions 333 to 654 of the family's 1533-position model. The record is from RNAcentral.